Canis lupus familiaris (dog) is the source of this 782-nucleotide long non-coding RNA. RefSeq lists it as uncharacterized. The transcript is spliced from 3 exons. The record is from RefSeq and is a predicted model, not a curated record. Lineage: Eukaryota; Metazoa; Chordata; Mammalia; Carnivora; Canidae.
GCGCAGGGUCCCGGCGGGUCAAAGGCGCCGGAGACCCGGGCCUCCCGGAACCCGCUGUCAGUGCGGUCCUCUUCCUCAGCGCGGGUGUGAGCCUGGAGCUCGGAGCCCCUCCUCACUCGCCCCUCUCUGGAGCCUCGGGGAACCAUUUCAGAGGUUGCAUAGGUGUCAGGAGCGGAAGGAGGCAUAGCGGUCCGCGCACCACCGAGCCUGCGGCUUCCAUCCUUGGAAAAAGCUUGCAGCUCACCUCCGGGGUCGCGGCGGCCCCGAGCCUCUGGCCGCAGAGCGCCGGCCUCAGGUUCAAGCGCGCGCCGCGGCGGAGCAGUGGAGUUACCGCCCCCAUCCCCCCGCCUCGCGCCUCGGGGUAGCUCCUGUUUCUCCCCAGCCGCCUCCGCACUGCUGCCAGCGCCCCCUCACCCCGCCCCGCCCGGGCCGGGGCAGCCACCCCAACACCGCCAGAUCUUCUGCCUCGCAGAGCGCCCACACUCGCCAACGCCCCCUAACCCCGCCCUCCCGCCGCCACAGCAGCGGCCACGCGCGACACUGAGGACCGUGACCACAAAGAUUGAGAGACGGCUACCGUCAGGAUUGCUGGGGAGGUGCAGCCAGCCUUCUGCGCAGUGCUCAGUGCACUAUAAGGCUGAGUCCUCCCGCGCAGGCAGUUAACAAUUGUGAAAGUUCCCUUAUGAAGACCAGGAAAAAAGUUGGGCUAAACGGACAGAACACAAAUUCUCUGGGCAGCCCCGGUGGCCCAGUGGUUUAGUGCCGCCUUCCGCCUGGGAUGU